RNAcentral lists this ribosomal RNA (682 nucleotides) under Pythium insidiosum. RNAcentral's name for it is "eukaryotic LSU rRNA". It matches the Rfam family "Eukaryotic large subunit ribosomal RNA", at positions 87 to 620 of the family's 3401-position model. The record is from RNAcentral. Lineage: Eukaryota; Oomycota; Peronosporomycetes; Pythiales; Pythiaceae.
CGGCGAGUGAAGCGGGAUGAGCUCAAGCUUAAAAUCUCUGUGCAGGUUCUGCAUGGCGAAUUGUAGUCUAUGGAGGCGAUGUCAGUGCGGUUGUGCGGGAUAAGUUCCUUGGAAGAGGACAGCAUCGAGGGUGAUACUCCCGUAUGUGCCUGUACAGCUGCGCGUACGACACGUUUUCUUUGAGUCGCGUUGUUUGGGAAUGCAGCGCAAAGUAGGUGGUAAAUUCCAUCUAAAGCUAAAUAUUGGUGCGAGACCGAUAGCGAACAAGUACCGUGAGGGAAAGAUGAAAAGAACUUUGAAAAGAGAGUUAAAGAGUACCUGAAACUGCUGAAAGGGAAUCGAAUCGUUUCCAGUGUCUAUAAUCCAUGACAUAUUUCAUUGGCGCGUGAAUGCGUGCAGCGUUUUGGAAGUGGGUUUCCUCUCCUGGCGUUGUUGUGCGUUUGCUUGCUGGUGCCCUGUGUUGUGGUGGGACGUCAGAGUCAGUUCGUAUGCCGCGGGAAAUGGCUGUCAGGGAGGUAGGUCGCUUCGGUGAUUGUUAUAGCCUGGCAGUUAGUAGUCGUGGUUGGGACUGAGGUGCCUACAACGCGCUUUCGAGUCUGCGGGACUCUCGUCUGGUUGCCUGCUUGGACAGCUUGCUGUGCUAGUGGUCACAUCGGGGCGAUUGAGAUCUGUAGUAACUUGU